RNAcentral lists this ribosomal RNA (585 nucleotides) under Escherichia coli. Its description in RNAcentral is "bacterial SSU rRNA". It matches the Rfam family "Bacterial small subunit ribosomal RNA", at positions 108 to 689 of the family's 1533-position model. Lineage: Bacteria; Pseudomonadati; Pseudomonadota; Gammaproteobacteria; Enterobacterales; Enterobacteriaceae. The record is from RNAcentral.
GAGUAAUGUCUGGGAAACUGCCUGAUGGAGGGGGAUAACUACUGGAAACGGUAGCUAAUACCGCAUAACGUCGCAAGACCAAAGAGGGGGACCUUCGGGCCUCUUGCCAUCGGAUGUGCCCAGAUGGGAUUAGCUAGUAGGUGGGGUAACGGCUCACCUAGGCGACGAUCCCUAGCUGGUCUGAGAGGAUGACCAGCCACACUGGAACUGAGACACGGUCCAGACUCCUACGGGAGGCAGCAGUGGGGAAUAUUGCACAAUGGGCGCAAGCCUGAUGCAGCCAUGCCGCGUGUAUGAAGAAGGCCUUCGGGUUGUAAAGUACUUUCAGCGGGGAGGAAGGGAGUAAAGUUAAUACCUUUGCUCAUUGACGUUACCCGCAGAAGAAGCACCGGCUAACUCCGUGCCAGCAGCCGCGGUAAUACGGAGGGUGCAAGCGUUAAUCGGAAUUACUGGGCGUAAAGCGCACGCAGGCGGUUUGUUAAGUCAGAUGUGAAAUCCCCGGGCUCAACCUGGGAACUGCAUCUGAUACUGGCAAGCUUGAGUCUCGUAGAGGGGGGUAGAAUUCCAGGUGUAGCGGUGAAAUGC